RNAcentral lists this long non-coding RNA (1477 nucleotides) under Androctonus crassicauda. The record is from RNAcentral. Lineage: Eukaryota; Metazoa; Arthropoda; Arachnida; Scorpiones; Buthidae.
UUUUCCUUGAUCUUAGCAAUGGUUCUUGUCAUUUUAGUCAUGGAACUGAUGGUGGAUAGCUAACAUCUUUCUUUUAUGAUCUUAGCAAGCUUUUCCUUGAUCUUAGCAAUGGUUCUUGUCAUUUUAGUCAUGGAACUGAUGUUGGAUAGCUAACAUCUUUCUUUUAUGAUCUUAGCAAGCUUUUCCUUGAUCUUAGCAAUGGUCAUCUUGUUUCAAUUCUUCCAUUCAGAGCAAUGUUUGAUAUUUUGUAUGGGUAUAUUCUUUGAAUGUUGUCAAACCAUUUCAAUUGCUAUUGAAGAAUAAGAUGUGAGAGAUUGUCUUAAUAGAUAAAAUCCCAUUUUAUUUUAAUCUCUAUUUGUUCUACUGCUCUUACGGAACAAGAUUAGAAGACUCCAGGAAACUAAUUUACCAGAAAAUCCGGUGUUUAUCACUAUGGACUUCGAAAAACUCUACCCUUCACUGAAAAUAGAACCAACAUGCCUAUGCCUCUACAGGUUCUUAUUACAAAACUUACCAACUCAGACCAACAAUCUGAAACUCUGCAGAGAAUUAGCAGACAUAAUAUGCCACUUUUCGUACUAUAGGUUUAAAGAGAAUUAUUAUAAACAAACACAAAGCAUACCGAUAGGAAGCCCCAUGGCGGGGGGUACUAGUAGAGUUAGUACUUCACUCUCUAGUGGAAACCAUAGCAGGCGACUUAAUACAGGAAGUGGUCCUAUACAUCCGAUAUAUAAACGAUAUAAUUGUAGUAUGGGAAGAAGUCAAUAGAGCAGAAGAAUUGAAGAGUGUUUUUACGAAAGAGAGCUUUGGCCUCAAGCUUAACCUGGAACAGGUAGAGAGAAAGGAAAUACAUUUCCUAGAUGUGCAGAUCAUCUACCAGCUCCCAGCAAUACAAACGACAGUAUACAGAAAACCGACGAGUAAAGAUAUAAUCAUACUAAGAUGAUCCAACGACAAGUGGAAAUAUAAGAAAGUAGCCAUUUGAUCGUAUAUAGAGAGAGCUCUUACCCACUGUAAUAUAGAAGACCUACUAAACCACGAACUUAAGAAAAUAAAACAGGUAGCACAGAAACAUGGUUACUCAGGAAACAUAGUAAGCAAAACCUAUGAGGAGAUUAGAACAAGAAGAGACAGGAAGGCAAAUAGACAGAUGGAAGAACGCCAAAGUGACAGUGCAAAUAACGCAGAAGAGAACAAGGACAAAUACAAGGUUAUUACUGAAGAACUGGGGAGUAUGUAAACAGUACAGAAACUGCUUAGGCAAAAGAGAAGGAAACCAGCCUACAAGAGGUCCCCUACAGUGGCAACUUUGCUCAAAACAUAAAGGACAAGUAUAACGAGGCAGAACAAGCAGGAGUAUACGAAAUACCCUUAACGAACAUAGAGAAACAAUGUGACGAAGUAUACUUUGGUGCCACGGCUAGGAAUUUAGGAGACAGACUAAAGGAGCAUAAGUCCGACAUGAAGAGAGACCUGC